This 474-nucleotide ribosomal RNA is filed under the name uncultured bacterium. RNAcentral's name for it is "bacterial SSU rRNA". It matches the Rfam family "Bacterial small subunit ribosomal RNA", at positions 29 to 506 of the family's 1533-position model. The record is from RNAcentral.
AUUAACGCUGGCAGAGUGCAUAACACAUGCAAGUCGAGCGAGACUAGUAGCAAUAUUAGUCUAGCGGCAGACGAGUGAGUAACACGUAAACAAUCUACCCUUGAAUGGUGAAUAACCAGCCGAAAGGCUGGCUAAUACACCGUACUCUCCCCGGAAGGCAUCUUCUGGGGAGGAGAGAUCCGCAAGGAUCGUUCUUGGAGGAGUUUGCGGCCCAUCAGCUAGUUGGCGGUGUAAUAGACCACCAAGGCUACGACGGGUACCCGGCCUGAAAGGGCGGACGGGCACGAUGGCACUGAGACACGGGCCAUACUCCUAUGGGAGGCGGCAGUGGGGAAUUUUGGACAAUGGGCGAAAGCCUGAUCCAGCAACUCUGCGUGAGGGACGAAGGUCUUCGGAUCGUAAACCUCUUUUACAUGGGAAGAAUGUCAGCAAUGACUCGACGGUACCAUGUGAAUAAGCCACGGCUAACUAUGU